This 250-nucleotide ribosomal RNA is filed under the name uncultured bacterium. RNAcentral describes it as "partial 16S ribosomal RNA". It matches the Rfam family "Bacterial small subunit ribosomal RNA", at positions 524 to 773 of the family's 1533-position model. The record is from RNAcentral.
UACGGAGGGUGCUAGCGUUGUUCGGAAUUAUUGGGCGUAAAGAGCGUGUAGGCGGCCGGGUAAGUCAGAUGUGAAAGCCCUUGGCUUAACCAAGGAAGUGCAUUUGAAACUGCUCGGCUUGAGUACGGGAGGGGGAAGCGGAAUUCCCGGUGUAGAGGUGAAAUUCGUAGAUAUCGGGAGGAACACCGGUGGCGAAGGCGGCUUCCUGGACCGAUACUGACGCUGAGACGCGAAAGCGUGGGGAGCAAAC